Molecule: ribosomal RNA, 468 nt
Filed under: uncultured bacterium
Lineage: Bacteria
Description: partial 16S ribosomal RNA
Rfam family: Bacterial small subunit ribosomal RNA
Source: RNAcentral
GACGAACGCUGGCGGCGUGCUUAACACAUGCAAGUCGAACGGAAAGGCCCUGCUUUUGUGGGGUGCUCGAGUGGCGAACGGGUGAGUAACACGUGAGUAACCUGCCCUUGACUUUGGGAUAACUUCAGGAAACUGGGGCUAAUACCGGAUAGGAGCGCCUGCUGCAUGGUGGUGGUUGGAAAGUUUCGGCGGUUGGGGAUGGACUCGCGGCUUAUCAGCUUGUUGGUGGGGUAGUGGCUUACCAAGGCUUUGACGGGUAGCCGGCCUGAGAGGGUGACCGGCCACAUUGGGACUGAGAUACGGCCCAGACUCCUACGGGAGGCAGCAGUGGGGAAUAUUGCACAAUGGGCGGAAGCCUGAUGCAGCAACGCCGCGUGCGGGAUGACGGCCUUCGGGUUGUAAACCGCUUUCGCCUGUGACGAAGCGUGAGUGACGGUAAUGGGUAAAGAAGCACCGGCUAACUACGUG